Molecule: non-coding RNA, 1384 nt
Organism: Sus scrofa (pig)
Lineage: Eukaryota; Metazoa; Chordata; Mammalia; Artiodactyla; Suidae
Source: RefSeq, a predicted model, not a curated record
GAGAAGGCGGUGCAGGGCUCUUGCCAGGAGCUACCAGGGCGGGUAAAUUAGGACCCUCAGCUCUUUGGCCUUUAGCCUCCGGGCGCUUGGCUUAGUUCCUUGCUGCACACGGGCCUGGGUUCAUCUCCCAGGAAAUGCCAUCUGGAGUCAGGUCUGAGAGACACCGUCCCACUCCCGCCCCGUACCUGUCCCCUCCCUCCUGUUCAGAUGUGGGCCAAGCUGCUCCCCUGGGCAGUGUGUCCAGACCCUGGGGUCCAGUCCCCGAGUCCAGCCCUCCGCUGGCUCAAGCCUUCGCUCCUCAAUUCCAUCUUGUGCAAGCCCAGCUGCCUCUGACUGCGCUGCCUCCCUGUCCAGCCACCCUGCCUGGGGAUACAGCUCCCUCAGACAUCCUCCAGCUCCUUCCUCUGCCAUCCCCCGCUCUCGGGGCAGCCUCCUGGGAGCCCAAGCCAGUCCCUUCCCUCCGUAGCCCAGCAUUCCCUCUCUCCUCCCCUCAGUGUCACUGUUCCAGUGCUGAUCCAGUGUGGUCAGUGGCAUACGGAGGAUGCUAUGGGCUCAGCAGAGUGGUGAGUGACAGGGGUGACCAGAGACUGUGCUGUUCCUCCCUUUAGAGACGGACAGCAGGGGGGCGAAGCUCGGUGCCAGGAGAGAGGCUCAGGACCCGGUCUGUGAUGGGAGGCUGCCUGAGCCUGGCCUGCCAGGGAGGCGGUGAGGGAAGUGGGUGGGGAGGGUGGGGAGAAGAGCCAACCCUUUGAACUGCCCCAAGAGCAGCCUCUGUGGCCUCAGGAGACAGCGCCUCAAAUGUCGCUGCCCCGGGCCAGGGAAGGGGGAAGAGGAGGUUUCUUAACACCAGUCACUUUUACUCUAGUUAUUUGACCAAAACGAAUUGUUCUUAGAAGGAAGAAGAAGAAGAAAAAAACAACAACAAACAAAAAACCAAAAAACCCACCACUGAGGUCACUUCUAUUACCCGAGCAGCUGAGGGAAAGAUCCUGCGAGCAGAUAACGUACCUGGGCCAGGGCUCUCCCCCAGCCCUCACCCCCUGCACAUAAUCUCGCCGCCUGGCCACCCUGCACCCAAACCCCAGCUGCUGCCUUGGCAUCCUGGAAGGUUCUAGAAGGCUGUUCCAAGUUGUCGCUAGUGUUCCAUGCAGUACCAUGUGCAAAGCCCUGUGCCUGGGGUAUAAAGCUGGCGCCCAGUACAAAGGGCAAUUGUGGUUGCUGUUAUCACCAUCGUGGGGUACCGUCUUUCCAGAUUCCAGUUUCUAGGUUUUCACUCGUUCUUGUGGCAGCCAUGAAGGGGUGGUGGUUACAAGCGUGUGAACUCUGGAAUUAGACAGAUUGGAGCCGUGUCGUAGCUUCUCCCCUUACGAAUGGUCACAGGAGC